RNAcentral lists this ribosomal RNA (429 nucleotides) under Chloroflexota bacterium. RNAcentral's name for it is "Chloroflexi bacterium partial 16S ribosomal RNA". It matches the Rfam family "Bacterial small subunit ribosomal RNA", at positions 355 to 776 of the family's 1533-position model. The record is from RNAcentral. Lineage: Bacteria; Bacillati; Chloroflexota.
UGGGGAAUAUUGCACAAUGGGCGCAAGCCUGAUGCAGCUAUGCCGCGUGUAUGAAGAAGGCCUUCGGGUUGUAAAGUACUUUCAGUCGGGAGGAAGGUGGUAAGGUUAAUAACCUUAUCAAUUGACGUUACCGACAGAAGAAGCACCGGCUAACUCCGUGCCAGCAGCCGCGGUAAUACGGAGGGUGCAAGCGUUAAUCGGAAUUACUGGGCGUAAAGCGCACGCAGGCGGUUGAUUGAGUCAGAUGUGAAAUCCCCGGGCUUAACCCGGGAAUUGCAUCUGAUACUGGUCAGCUAGAGUCUUGUAGAGGGGGGUAGAAUUCCAUGUGCAGCGGUGAAAUGCGUAGAGAUGUGGAGGAAUACCGGUGGCGAAGGCGGCCCCCUGGACAAAGACUGACGCUCAGGUGCGAAAGCGUGGGGAGCAAACAGG